Molecule: ribosomal RNA, 109 nt
Filed under: uncultured bacterium
Lineage: Bacteria
Description: partial 16S ribosomal RNA
Rfam family: Bacterial small subunit ribosomal RNA
Source: RNAcentral
CCGGGCCUUGUACACACCGCCCGUCACACCAUGGGAGUUGGUUUUACCCGAAGACGGCGCGCUAACCGCAAGGAGGCAGCCGGCCACGGUAGGGUCAGCGACUGGGGUG